RNA transcript from Benincasa hispida (wax gourd), 1190 nucleotides. It is a transcript of the gene named modifier of snc1,4, with no coding region annotated. Lineage: Eukaryota; Viridiplantae; Streptophyta; Magnoliopsida; Cucurbitales; Cucurbitaceae. The record is from RefSeq and is a predicted model, not a curated record.
AACAAAGAAAAUCCAAUCAAUUUGCGAAGCGGGCCGCGGAAUCUCCAUCUCCUCGCACUUGACCUUCUGUAAGACUGAAACUCGAAACCUCUGUUGUUCGUCGCGGUGGCAAUGGCGACUAACAACAUUAAUGGGGAUAUCCUAAUGCUCGAAGCUCCACCGCAGCCGUCUCAACCAGCGUGGCGCGUUGCUGCGGAUGCCGAGGUAGUCGACGCCCUGCCCUACAUCGACGACGACUAUGCAGACCCAAGGGUCAAAGCAGAGGUCGACCGCUUAGUCGAGGAAGAGAUGCGCCGUAGCUCCAAACGACCGGCCGACUUUCUCAAAGACUUGCCUCCCGUUCCUAAGUUCAAGUUCGAAGAUCAUCCAAUGCUUGCUAGAGAGUACGAACGUGUAAGAGCUGGGAGACCUCCAGUGCCUCUCGAUGUUGCAAGAUAUAAGUUAGAGACACCACCUCCAAAUAAAAAAAAUGACGAAACUGCUUGGAAGCAGACACUUCAGAAAGCUCAAUGCUUACUCCGUCAUCAAGUACUGAGGCUGGAAAAUUUGGAUCUGAUGUCAAAAUAUGGCCCUGAUAUAUGGAAGCAACACAACAAACAGUUGGAAGCACUUCUAUCAAGAAUGCAAAAAUUAGCUCAAGAACAGAAUGAGAAGAUUGAAAAGGUGAACCGUGAAAGGAAAUUCCAUCAACAAAACGCUGCAUAUGAGCUUCAUGCUUUGUCCACGCAAUGGAAGGAGCUUUGUGAGAAAAAUAUGGAAAUCCAAGUGGCAUGCUUUCAAUUAGAGGGUCAAAUCGAGGAACUAAGGAGAGAGGCAACAGAAAAGUAAGGCUGGAAUUUGGAAGUCAAUGUAGAGAAUGGUUCUGUUUCGCUUCCCGUAUCAUAAGGGGAGCGUCACUUCCAACGUCAUUUGAUGCUAUUAUGAGAUGCCUUACAUGGAAGAUGAGUUAGAUUUCUGCUUAUAUGGGAGAGGAUGGUUGCUCCAAAGUUUGUCUUUAGUCAUUUUCAAAUUUUGCAUUGAAUUGAUCGUAUCUGUACCUUUAGUGAAGUAAUUCGAAGUACACUUGCUUCCUCUAACCGUGUUAUUUUGGUGACUCUCUGACUUGAAUAUAGUUUAUAACUUUAUAAUGUACAAAUUAUUGAACUACCAGACUAUCUAUCAAAUGUAUAACAAUUGAUAUUAGUUCUUAA